CCUACGUGGGGCUGCAGUGGGGAAUAUUGGACAAUGGGCGAAAGCCUGAUCCAGCCAUGCCGCGUGUGUGAAGAAGGCCUUCGGGUUGUAAAGCACUUUCAGUGGGGAAGAAAGCCUUGGGGCUAAUACCCUCGAGGAAGGACAUCACCCACAGAAGAAGCACCGGCUAACUCCGUGCCAGCAGCCGCGGUAAUACGGAGGGUGCGAGCGUUAAUCGGAAUUACUGGGCGUAAAGCGCGCGUAGGCGGUCUGAUAAGCCGGUUGUGAAAGCCCCGGGCUCAACCUGGGAACGGCAUCCGGAACCGUCAGGCUAGGGUGCAGGAGAGGAAGGUAGAAUUCCCGGUGUAGCAGUGAAAUGCGUAGAGAUCGGGAGGAAUACCAGUGGCGAAGGCGGCCUUCUGGACUGACACUGACGCUGAGGUGCGAAAGCGUGGGUAGCAAACAGGAUUAGAUACCCCAGUAGUC
RNAcentral lists this ribosomal RNA (465 nucleotides) under Vreelandella stevensii. RNAcentral's name for it is "partial 16S ribosomal RNA". It matches the Rfam family "Bacterial small subunit ribosomal RNA", at positions 338 to 795 of the family's 1533-position model. The record is from RNAcentral. Lineage: Bacteria; Pseudomonadati; Pseudomonadota; Gammaproteobacteria; Oceanospirillales; Halomonadaceae.